GUGGGCAGGAUAACACUGAAAAUUUACAAGCUGCUGGGAGAGGCUGGAUAUGUGUUAGAGAAAGUCCCAAACUUCAAGAGAAGUCCUGUGCUUUGUGUCUGAAGGUGAUGGAGCCCCUCAGGAGUAAAAUACUGAAAGAUUCAGUUAACACCUCUGCUGUCAGAUGUAACUGUAUAAAGAAGAACUUGUCAAGAUCUUUCCAUUUUGGACAUCUGCUCUCUAAAAUAAACUGAUAACAAAGCA
Molecule: long non-coding RNA, 243 nt
Organism: Pseudopipra pipra
Lineage: Eukaryota; Metazoa; Chordata; Aves; Passeriformes; Pipridae
Exons: 2
Source: RefSeq, a predicted model, not a curated record